RNAcentral lists this ribosomal RNA (1255 nucleotides) under Cryptocephalus obliteratifer. RNAcentral describes it as "16S ribosomal RNA". The stretch from base 1044 to 1203 matches the Rfam family "Archaeal large subunit ribosomal RNA", at positions 2542 to 2701 of the family's 2987-position model. The record is from RNAcentral. Lineage: Eukaryota; Metazoa; Arthropoda; Insecta; Coleoptera; Chrysomelidae.
UUGAAGAAAAAAUUUUAUUAAUAUUAAUAAUUUUGUAUUAUUUAUUUAAAAUAUUAUUGUUUAAUUAAUUUUAGUGAAAAAAUUUUUUUAAUAAUAGAUGAUUUGUAUCGUGAGAGAAUAAUUUUUACUGGAAAAAAGAAGAAUUUAUUUUUUGUACCUUGUGUAUCAGGGUUGAUUAAAUUAUUAAUAUAAAUUUAUAUAUCUCGAAUUAAAAAGAGUUAAGAUUGUAGUUUUUAAAUGUUUCAUAAUUUUUAUUAAUACAAUUUUAGUAAUGAAAUGUUAUUCGUUUUUUAAUAUAUCUAGUUUUUUAAGAAAUAAAUUUAAUUUAUUUAUUUUUAAAGUUGUUUUAAGUUGUUAAUAAAAAUUUUGAAAAUACAAAAUUUUUUUGGGGAAAAGCUCGAGAGAAUAGGUUUAUUUAAUUUUUAAUAUUAAGUUUGCAAGUAGGAUUGUAAAUUUCCGUCUUUUUUAAAAUGUUAUAGUUUUCUUAUUGUUUAUUAUUAUUUAUAUGAUUAAUAAAUUUUAUAUUGAAAUUUUGAGUUUAAUAGUAUAGUUCAAGGAAUAAUGAUUGAAUUAGUAUAUUUAUGUGUAUAUAUAUAUAUAUGGUUGAAGAUGUUGAUAAUGAACUAGGCAAUUUUAUUUUUCACCUGUUUAUUAAAAACAUGUCUUUUUGAUAAUAAUUUAAGGUCGGGCCUGCUCAAUGAUAAAAUUAAAUGGCUGCAGUAUUUUGACUGUACUAAGGUAGCAUAAUCAUUAGUUUCUUAAUUGGGAACUGGAAUGAAAGGUUUGAUGAGAAAAUAGCUGUCUCUUUAGUAAGUAUAGAAAUUUAUUUUUAAGUAAAAAAGCUUAAAUUUAGUUAAAAGACGAGAAGACCCUAUAGAGUUUAAUAAUUUAUUGGUUUUUAAUUGAGUAUAAAAAUAUAAAUUAACUAUGAAAAUUAUUUGAUUGGGGUGAUUCUAAAAUUUAGUAAACUUUUAUUUUAAAAAACUUAAAUUAAAGGAUAAUUUGAUCCGUGUUUGGCGAUUAAAAGAAUAAAUUACCUUAGGGAUAACAGCGUAAUUUUUUUUUAGAGUUCUAAUCGAUAAAAAAGAUUGCGACCUCGAUGUUGGAUUAAAAUUUACUUUUAGGUGCAAAGGCUAAAUAGUUGAGUCUGUUCGACUUUUAAAAUUUUACAUGAUCUGAGUUUAAACCGGUGUGAGCCAGGUUGGUUUCUAUCUUUAAUAUAACUAAAAAUUUUAGUACGAAAGGACCAAAUUUU